RNAcentral lists this long non-coding RNA (1346 nucleotides) under Gallus gallus (chicken). Lineage: Eukaryota; Metazoa; Chordata; Aves; Galliformes; Phasianidae. The record is from RNAcentral.
CGACGACCGUACCCACGCCCGUAUAAAAAGCCUCCGGGAGGGCUGCGGUGGGCACGAGGAGAAUGGGUUGGUGCGUGUGCGUUGCGCGGGUUGUUCAAACGUGGAGUGACUGUAAGCCAUCCAUUCACGUGUCGACGCAGCGAGGAGGCGGUGGCUCAAUGAAUUUUAACGUCUGAGAAGUACAUGGACUGUAUGUGAAGGCAGGGAACCUGCUCUGCUGCUGUCAUCAUCGACCUCUGAUAUCACUUGGAGCAAGACAACCAACGAUAGCAGUGAUCUGACUCUGGAGUGGUAAGAAAGCAUGAGAUUAUUCACUCGACGAUGUCACGACUCCCAAGUCUGAUGUCAUGGCUGUUUCCACAGCAACCAAAUGGAAUCAAGGACAGCUUUGAAACCAGGAAUUAGAAACCAAGAGGAACUCAUACAGAGUGGCAACACAACACAGGAGUGCCGUGAAGCAAACCAUGCCCUGCACAUGGCCCAGGGUCUCAACACUCCCAGCUGGCGCAGUGCUUUCUCAGUGAGGAAUAGUGCAGCGUUGGAAGCUCAGCACCUUAGCAUUGCUGUGCUUUCUGAAUCCUGAGUGAAGGAUGCAAAAAUGUGGUGGCACUGCAGGACUGAUCCCUCUGGGGACUGGGGUAAGGUUGCAUGGAGUGUCUCCUUCCAUCGCAGCUCCCUUUUCCAUGCAGACUCAGGGCACUUUGUGCAACCUCUGUCCACCUAGAGGUGCCCAGCUGAGAUGCAGCUCCCCCUGGCCUGUGCAGUGUUCAAUGCUCAGAGACUCCGUGCUGUUCCUUGCUGGAAGAGGGUCACGUUUCUAAUGGGACUGGACAGGAGGAUGCCAGAUUAGCUGCUGUGCCAGGAGUGCAUCAUUCUUUCCAGCCUCAGAGGUUUCCCUUAGAUGGUCCUGCACUCAUCUUCCUUACCUGCGGGAGAUGGACGCCUUGCCCUCCACUUGCCACAUAUAUCCCACUCACUGUGCUUCAGUUGCUGAUGAUGCUGAGUCCUCUCCUUGCCCAUCCCAAACCACCCAACUGUUCCACCCCUGCGUGAUGCACCCUUUUCAGCACCCCACUGCAAAUUCUGGGGCAAAAUUCCUGUUCCCCUGGACAGACUGGGGCGAUCCAUGGCACACAGAGCAGGCAGCCCUCCCAGUAGGAGUGCUGCUUGAAGGGGAGUAUUUUGCUGUGUCAACAUGUCUGCUUCUCUAUCCCCCAUGUUUGCUGAUUGCAUCCUUGAAGAAUCCCUGUCACAUUAGGUUUUCAGCAUGGAGCUGAGCCCUGAGCUUGGAGGGACAUGGAGUACUGGGGAAGGCUUCUUCAGUGGAGUGCUAGAGGGGUGUAAAA